CCAUGAUGAUGUUUAAACACUCAGGAUAUUCCCUUCUUGUUUGCCUGCCUGUUUCCAGAGUUCUGUUACCAUGGGGUAUUUCCUAUUUAAUGACUCACAGGAGACUGGGUGACUGGUGGCUGGCACUGUGGGAUUAUGAAGAUGUGACUGUGGACUUUGCCCCUGACUUUUGUCAGUAAUUCAAUGCCAUGUGUGCUACAUUAUCUACCUGAGACUCAGAUUCUUAAUCUGUAAAAUUGAAAUAACUGAACUGUCCUCGAAAUUAAACAAAGCAAGAGAGGAGGGAAAAAAAAGACACACUGCUUGAUGGAAAUCAAAAUCAAUUUCCGAGUUUUUCACCACACAUACACAGGCCUCUGGCUACACAGAAAUGGUUUCUCCAUCUCCGGGUGUAUCAGUCAGUUCCAGCUACUGUAGUAAGACUAAUGCAGUGGCUUAAGCAGUAGAAACGGCUCAAGACUGGCAAGUCCAGGAAAAAGAAGCAAGCCGACUUGGAAAAAAGCUGUUUUCUGUUUUCUUAUGCCAUGGGGGGGGUUGGCAGAGAGAAGAAACAAGCUCAUUCCUAUCAUAUCCCAAGGACUCUACUCUCUGAGACUUAACUGGUUCCUCAAAGCCUGGG
This 619-nucleotide long non-coding RNA is filed under the name Cricetulus griseus (Chinese hamster). RNAcentral describes it as "lncRNA (ENSCGRG00015042010.1)". The record is from RNAcentral. Lineage: Eukaryota; Metazoa; Chordata; Mammalia; Rodentia; Cricetidae.